This 87-nucleotide transfer RNA is filed under the name Cavia porcellus (domestic guinea pig). It matches the Rfam family "tRNA". Rfam says of the family: Transfer RNA (tRNA) molecules are approximately 80 nucleotides in length. Their secondary structure includes four short double-helical elements and three loops (D, anti-codon, and T loops). Further hydrogen bonds mediate the characteristic L-shaped molecular structure. tRNAs have two regions of fundamental functional importance: the anti-codon, which is responsible for specific mRNA codon recognition, and the 3' end, to which the tRNAs corresponding amino acid is attached (by aminoacyl-tRNA synthetases). tRNAs cope with the degeneracy of the genetic code in two manners: having more than one tRNA (with a specific anti-codon) for a particular amino acid; and 'wobble' base-pairing, i.e. permitting non-standard base-pairing at the 3rd anti-codon position. The record is from Rfam by way of RNAcentral. Lineage: Eukaryota; Metazoa; Chordata; Mammalia; Rodentia; Caviidae.
GGGGAUUUAGCUCAGUGGCAUAAGCGCCUGCCUUGCAAGCAGGCAGUCUUGACCCCAAGCCACUGGAAGCUGCGAUUUGAAUUUCCU